GACGAACGCUGGCGGCGUGCUUAACACAUGCAAGUCGAACGCUGAAGCUCAGCUUUUGUUGGGUGGAUGAGUGGCGAACGGGUGAGUAACACGUGAGUAACCUGCCUCCUUCUUUGGGAUAACGCCCGGAAACGGGUGCUAAUACUGGAUAUUCACUGGUCUUCGCAUGGGGGUUGGUGGAAAGGGUUUUUCUGGUGGGGGAUGGGCUCGCGGCCUAUCAGCUUGUUGGUGGGGUGAUGGCCUACCAAGGCUUUGACGGGUAGCCGGCCUGGGAGGGUGACCGGUCACAUUGGGACCGAGAUACGGCCCAGACUCCUACGGGAGGCAGCAGUGGGGAAUAUUGCACAAUGGGCGCAAGCCUGAUGCAGCGACGCCGCGUGAGGGAUGGAGGCCUUCGGGUUGUGAACCUCUUUCGCUCAUGGUCAAGCCGCAACAAUGGUUGUGGUGAGGGUAGUGGGUAAAGAAGCGCCGGCUAACUACGUG
RNAcentral lists this ribosomal RNA (483 nucleotides) under uncultured bacterium. Its description in RNAcentral is "partial 16S ribosomal RNA". It matches the Rfam family "Bacterial small subunit ribosomal RNA", at positions 28 to 507 of the family's 1533-position model. The record is from RNAcentral.